UGAAGAGUGGAAGUUCUGUUUGGGUUUCUCUUAUCAGGGACACAGAGACAAGCGGUACAUAAAACUAUUUUUUCACUUCUGGCUUGCUUGCUGCUUUUGCUUGCUCUCUUUUUCUGCUCUUGCUUCUGCUCUGCUUUCGCCUCUGCUUAUUAGCUAAACAGUCCAUAUUCCUUCCUGGACUGUUUCUCCUCUCCUGUUUCUGUGACCAUCUUGAACCUGCUCCGGACUGGGAACCGGGAACACUGAAGGUUCGGCUGCAGCAGCUGGCCCAGCGCCGGAGGGACUGAGAACAGAGCAACCAUCCCCCCGAAAGAGACUUUCUGAUUUUAUCAUCUUUCUCAAAGCGGUGUCAUCGGGUAUUGUUCAUUUUGUGUGCUGGGUGGUGCUGGGCCAGUCAAAUAAACAGGUUCUUUCCACCUCUCUCCAAGGAAUUUUUUCCCGAACGGGUUGGGGGGAGGGGCUGUGUGGGUUUUGCUUUCUGGAGGGGCCCUCCUUUGCAGAUUCUUUAACAAAUUUGCCCUAAAUCAGGACACCGCCCCGAUUACAUUCUGCCUCGGCGGGGAGGGGAGUGCUCUGGCCCAAUGGGCACCUAUAGCCCAGGCCUGGAUUAAGGAACUGUGCAAGGCCUAGAGGGAGCACUCCUGGGAAUCUGAGUAUUUACGGGGCCUCCUUCGCCUGGUCCUUGCACAGGGAGAUCUGGUGCCCACGGACCUGAGGGCUCUCCUCUCUAGCAUUUUAGGGCCCAUGGAAUUCAGGGUCUGGGUGGGAGAACAGAGGAGGGAGAUUGUGGAGGUUCUCUCAGUGCUUUGGGGGAACCCCUCCACAUCUCAUGACACUGAGGGCUUGGCAAUUUCUGAGGACCAUCUUGUGGGUGAACGGGGCAGCUCAGGCAAAGGCAUUGUUCAAAGAACAACUUGUGGAAACAGGGAAAGCUGCAGAGCAUGCUUUUUAUAAACUAGCUACUACCACCUCACAGCUAGAAGAAGAAGAAAUAAGGCAGGGCACGCAGGAAUCUUACCUGGCAUUUAUGGAAAGACUCUACUGGUUCGUUUAGGUGCAGGUUCCGGGGGAGAGGGAGAGAGAGGAGAUGCUUAGGCAGAUGGCUUAUUACAAUGCCAACACAGCGUGCAGGCGGGCUAUCCGAUCUCUCCCUCGAAACCCCCGACCCACCGUGGAAAUGAUGAUCGAAAUGUGUGCCAGGAAGGUUCCUCUGCAAGACCUGAAAGCACGCCCCAAAAGAGCCUCUGUAGCCUUCGCAGAGUAUCCAACGCCAGAGGACACAGAUGCCGAAGCUGCCGCCGCCACCAGACCAAUGACACCAGGGUCCAGGAGAAGGACGACGGCGACUCACCCCUGGCACCUCUGUGGCAAAGUGGGCCACUGGAUGCCCCAAUGCCCUAUGAGGCAAGAUUACUUAGAAUAUAGGAGGAGGAAAGAGGAGGAGGAAAAACAGCAAAAAAACUAGCUCAAGAGCGCAGCCCCUCCCUGUGCCAAGAUAAAAAUGAGGCGCGUGAUGUAACAUCAAGCAGGGAGGGACUAACAAAGGGGAACCCAUCAUUCACGUUACCGGACUUGUCUUAUUUCUUAUCUAUACCUGAUGUGACAUUUAACAACUGUGGUUUACAGCCUCAACCUGUGCUUAACACCUUGUCCUCUGCUUCCCCAUACAGGCUUCAGCUCACGAGGGGCAUACACCUCCCCAAAAGUGAUUUACAACUGGUGUCUGUCGACCUCCAACAUCCGGGUCGAUGGAGGAGUUUAGGACGUUGCAGGUGGACUGUCGUCGGAGAUACUAAGCACACGCCGUGAGACCUUUACAUCGUCCCAGGGUUGACCACUACGGACUGGGACCGUUUCGCGGUAGGGCUGUACUGUGUCUGACCCCCACUCUUCCUCCCCAAGGGACAAAUCAUCACCCAGGCCAUUCCAUUUCCUGAUAAGGACCAUUGGAAGAAGACAUCAGGAGACUCCUCACCCCCGACGGUGGCCUGGGCAUGAUGCCCCGCCUUUUGCCUUCAUGGCUCCUUCCAUCAACCGUGAGUCCCUGGACAAGCGCUACCCCUGGCAAUGCCUUCCGCAAGGAAUGAAGAACUCCCCUGUGAUUCACCAGUGUACACCUCCCCGAUGGCCCCCACAUUGACAUCGUUGGCUCCCAACCCUAGUCUUCUACUGUUAAUGCUGACAACCUACGGACUCCUGCUGCCAUCUUCGGAGCCGUGGGUCGUCCCCCAGCCAAAGAUCAAUGUCUGGCGUGCCUUGGCUCAGUCUUUAGGACAGGACCACAUUUGCCUCGACACCGGCACAGAAGAGGACCCGAUGUCGUCUUGCCUUGUGGGGAUCCCUUUCUCUCCAGGCGAGUUCCCAUCCGCCUUUCAGUCAGCCCUUUCCCCUAUUUUGGCUCAGAGCCUUACUAUCCUCCUGAGUUUUGAUUCUAGUAAUGCCUGGAGAGACGGAGUGCAUAGGCUGGAUCCUUUAUCCUCUGAGCCCACAGAAUUACAUCUUCUCGGUUCCGCCAAUGCCUCUGUUUGUUUUCAAUUUGAUUACACCUUUGCCCCUAUAGAGAAGGGCAGUGAGGUGGUCCAGCAAACUAAAAUAGAAUAUCAGGCAAACCAGUGGUGCAAAGCCGUGCUGAAGAUCAGUGGCCCCACCACCACAGGACGGAUCCCUUAUGCCCUUCCUAGGGGAGCGUUUUUGAUUUGUGGCAACCGGGCGCAGGCAGGCAUCCCCUCUGGUCUGAUCGGAGGGCCGUGCACUUCUGGCAGACUGACGCUGUUCACCCCCAACAUGACCCAAAUUGUCAACUGGAAAAAGGCAAAUGUCACGUCCAAAUGGGCCAGAGUUAAAAGAGAUCUCAAGGAUCUCCCUGAGGACUGUGACAGCGAAAUUACGCAUUGGUCUCACUCUAAAUCCGUCGCUUUUACCAUUCUAUUGCCUUGGGUAUCCGUGGCGAAGUCUCUAGGUGAAUUGGGCCGCCUAGAGUGUUGGGUGGCAAAGCAAGCCAAUUUUACAUCAGCUGCCCUAUACGACCUCCUCACAGACGAGGAAAUAACAAGAAAGGUGACACUUCAAAACAGGGCAGCAAUUGAUUUUCUAUUGCUGUUACAUCAUCACCACUGUGAGGAGUUCAAGGGCCUCUGCUGCAUGAACCUGUCCUCCCGAGCCGAAGAUGCCGGACACACUGUCAAGAGGCUGCAGGACCUAAUACACCAAGUUAAACAAGAGACCUCUGACUGGCUGGGGGACAUUUUUAAGGGUUGGGGCCUUAGCGGGUGGGCCGGUUCAAUUUUGGAAUCAAUUUGUAAAGUUGUUUUAGGUUUGAUUGUACUUUUAGUUCUUGUUGCUUUUAUUCAAUGCCUGGUUAAAAGACUCGUGAUGAAAGUGUCAACGCCAAGUGUGAACCAUGCCACCGUUCCCCUCAAUGAGCCCAUCGAGCUGGAGGACCUCUCCUUGGAGGCUGGAGAAACAGUGGAUGAAGAGGGGGCGACCAUGCUGCCCCUGGACCACCUAUGGGCGGACAGACUCCAGCUUGAGGAGGGCGAGACUUGCUGGGACCAGCCGCGGGUCCCUGCAGUUUAAGUUUUACAUGGACUUUUCCGUUCCUUUUAUUUUUAUUUGGUAAAAAACGGGGAGAUGUUGUAGUGUGUUCGUUAAGUUCAUUUAAUUCCUCCCCCAUUUUAUGUAUCUGCUCCCCCCCAUUUUGUGUAAAAUGGUUCUGCCCUCCUCAGUUUUCCCGCCACAGCCCUGCCAGUUCUAUUGUCAAUCUUUUAGGUUAUAUAAUUCCUCCUCCCCUUUUUCCCUUAUAUGUAUGCUUUUUCUCCUCCCUGGGCCAAGUCAAUCACCCCCCCACUCCACCUAGUAUUCCAGGAGCUUCUCCUCUUUGGGGGUUGUGGUUGGCUGUGCUCCCGGGACCCCUCCCAUACCUGGUACCUAUUGGGCUCUCCACUAUGUCAUUUGUGUUAAGCUCAUCCCCUCUUCUCCCCCUAUUGGUCUUCUGUAAACCCCUCUCGGGUCCACCCCUUCACUUUAUAACCCUUAAGCACCCUUUGCUCUUGGUCAUUCGCUGAUACAUUGUGGGCUUUGCAAUAAACCAAGUUUAGCCCCCCC
Long non-coding RNA from Zonotrichia leucophrys gambelii, 4104 nucleotides. RefSeq lists it as uncharacterized. The transcript is spliced from 3 exons. NCBI's taxonomy places the organism in Eukaryota, Metazoa, Chordata, Aves, Passeriformes, Passerellidae. The record is from RefSeq and is a predicted model, not a curated record.